Molecule: ribosomal RNA, 450 nt
Filed under: uncultured Glomeromycotina
Lineage: Eukaryota; Fungi; Glomeromycota
Description: SSU rRNA
Rfam family: Eukaryotic small subunit ribosomal RNA
Source: RNAcentral
AGCAGCCGCGGUAAUUCCAGCUCCAAUAGCGUAUAUUAAAGUUGUUGCAGUUAAAAAGCUCGUAGUUGAAUUUCGGGAUCAAUACGUCGGUCGUGCUUUCGGGUACGUACUGGCGUCAUUGGUUUCUCCUUUCUGACGAACCAUGAUGUCAUUAAUUUGGUGUUAUGGGGAGUUAGGACUGUUACUUUGAAAAAAUUAGAGUGUUUAAAGCAGGCUAACGCUUGAAUACAUUAGCAUGGAAUAAUGAAAUAGGACGUUAAUCCUAUUUUGUUGGUUUCUAGGAUCGACGUAAUGAUUAAUAGGGAUAGUUGGGGGCAUUAGUAUUCAAUUGUCAGAGGUGAAAUUCUUGGAUUUAUUGAAGACUAACUACUGCGAAAGCACUUGCCAAGGAUGUUUCAUUAAUCAAGAACGAAAGUUAGGGGAUCGAAGACGAUCAGAUACCGUCGUAGU